This 364-nucleotide long non-coding RNA is filed under the name Androctonus crassicauda. The record is from RNAcentral. Lineage: Eukaryota; Metazoa; Arthropoda; Arachnida; Scorpiones; Buthidae.
AGCAUUGAGAACAGAUUGUUUAUUAAAUUAGCGAUCGAUUUAUUUAAAUGAAAUGUAAUUGUUUUACAAAUGCAGCAUUCAUUUUUGAAUGUUAAAUUGUUAAAUCUUCCUCACUGUUCUGUAGUUGUAUAUUGCUUACUAUCUUUUUUGAGAAUGUUAUGGCUCAUUAUUCUUAUGUGGAAUUGGCAGAUAUGCACUUCAUUUAUGGGUGCAUCAGUAGAAAUAGAGCAGCAGGAUGUCUGUACAGGAGAACUUUUCCACAAUGCAGAUGUCACCAGAGUUAUUUUUGCAAACCUUGAACAUUUCAUCUAACAUUAUUAAUUAAAGUUGCAUUACUUUACAAUUUUGUUAAUUUAAGCCAAUA